Molecule: ribosomal RNA, 202 nt
Filed under: Escherichia coli
Lineage: Bacteria; Pseudomonadati; Pseudomonadota; Gammaproteobacteria; Enterobacterales; Enterobacteriaceae
Description: partial 23S ribosomal RNA
Rfam family: Bacterial large subunit ribosomal RNA
Source: RNAcentral
GGUUAAGCGACUAAGCGUACACGGUGGAUGCCCUGGCAGUCAGAGGCGAUGAAGGACGUGCUAAUCUGCGAUAAGCGUCGGUGAGGUGAUAUGAACCGUUAUAACCGGCGAUUUCCGAAUGGGGAAACCCAGUGUGUUUCGACACACUAUCAUUAACUGAAUCCAUAGGUUAAUGAGGCGAACCGGGGGAACUGAAACAUCU